AUGCAGUCGAACGGAGCUGCCUUGAUGAAGUUCUCGGAUGGAUUUAAAACAGCUUAGUGGCGGACGGGUGAGUAACGCGUGGGUAACCUGCCUCACACUGGGGGAUAACAGUUAGAAAUAGCUGCUAAUACCGCAUAAGCGCACAGUUCUGCAUGGAACAGUGUGAAAAACUCCGGUGGUGUGAGAUGGACCCGCGUCUGAUUAGCCAGUUGGCGGGGUAACGGCCCACCAAAGCGACGAUCAGUAGCCGGCCUGAGAGGGUGAACGGCCACAUUGGGACUGAGACACGGCCCAAACUCCUACGGGAGGCAGCAGUGGGGAAUAUUGCACAAUGGGGGAAACCCUGAUGCAGCGACGCCGCGUGAGUGAAGAAGUAUUUCGGUAUGUAAAGCUCUAUCAGCAGGGAAGAAAGUGACGGUACCUGAAUAAGAAGCCCCGGCUAACUACGUGCCAGCAGCCGCGGUAAUACGUAGGGGGCAAGCGUUAUCCGGAUUUACUGGGUGUAAAGGGAGCGUAGACGGCAAGGCAAGUCUGAAGUGAAAGCCCGGUGCUUAACGCCGGGACUGCUUUGGAAACUGUUUAGCUGGAGUGCCGGAGAGGUAAGCGGAAUUCCUAGUGUAGCGGUGAAAUGCGUAGAUAUUAGGAAGAACACCAGUGGCGAAGGCGGCUUACUGGACGGUAACUGACGUUGAGGCUCGAAAGCGUGG
Molecule: ribosomal RNA, 707 nt
Filed under: uncultured bacterium
Lineage: Bacteria
Description: bacterial SSU rRNA
Rfam family: Bacterial small subunit ribosomal RNA
Source: RNAcentral